RNAcentral lists this transfer RNA (66 nucleotides) under Euhamitermes hamatus. Its description in RNAcentral is "tRNA-Ile". The record is from RNAcentral. RNAcentral also lists the same sequence under 1 other name. Lineage: Eukaryota; Metazoa; Arthropoda; Insecta; Blattodea; Termitidae.
AAUGAUGAGCCUGAUUAAAGGACUAUCGUGAUAGGAUAAAACAUGUAGUUGAAACUACCUUCAUUA